CCUUAUUGAGAGCGGCUGAGGGAAUAGGCCCUGCGACGCCCGGCAACCUGUGUGAAUACCAUGCAAGGUGCUAAAUCCUACAGAAUAUUAUUUCUGAAAGAUGAGG
Molecule: non-coding RNA, 106 nt
Filed under: human gut metagenome
Description: SAM riboswitch (S box leader)
Rfam family: SAM riboswitch aptamer (S box leader)
About the family: The SAM riboswitch is found upstream of a number of genes which code for proteins involved in methionine or cysteine biosynthesis in Gram-positive bacteria. The SAM riboswitch acts at the level of transcription termination control. The predicted structure consists of a complex stem-loop region followed by a single stem loop terminator region.
Source: RNAcentral